Molecule: ribosomal RNA, 113 nt
Filed under: Klebsiella oxytoca
Lineage: Bacteria; Pseudomonadati; Pseudomonadota; Gammaproteobacteria; Enterobacterales; Enterobacteriaceae
Also listed under: 1 other name
Source: RNAcentral
GGCGGCAGUAGCGCGGUGGUCCCACCUGACCCCAUGCCGAACUCAGAAGUGAAACGCCGUAGCGCCGAUGGUAGUGUGGGGUCUCCCCAUGUGAGAGUAGGGAACUGCCAGGC